This 314-nucleotide transfer-messenger RNA is filed under the name Rhodospirillales bacterium. It matches the Rfam family "Alphaproteobacteria transfer-messenger RNA". From Rfam's summary of the family: Bacterial tmRNA, also known as 10Sa RNA or SsrA, is named for its dual tRNA and mRNA-like properties. Its role is to liberate the mRNA from a stalled ribosome. To accomplish this part of the tmRNA is used as a reading frame that ends in a translation stop signal. The record is from RNAcentral. Lineage: Bacteria; Pseudomonadati; Pseudomonadota; Alphaproteobacteria; Rhodospirillales.
GGCCUUUCCCCGGGCAGGCGGACUGCCUAUAUCGCCUUUGCCGGUUCGCCGGCUAUGGCGAUAAACGGUGUGUGGAAUAAGCGUUGUGGACCCGGGGGCAGUACCCGGCGCCUCCACCAUACGGUCCCCCUUUGAGGGGGGCUCAUUGGGGGCGAAACAGGCUCGACACGCGUGGUAAAGACGCAUUUUUCGCCCGGCAUGGUUCCGCCGUCAUCGGGCCAUAUCACAGGUGCCAAUGACAACAUGGCGCUCGCUGUCGCUGCAUAAGCGAUAAGCGCGGUUCGGGGGGCACCGGGCAACAGAAGCCCCCCACU